AGCAGCCGCGGUAAUUCCAGCUCCAAUAGCGUAUAUUAAAGUUGUUGCAGUUAAAAAGCUCGUAGUUGAAUUUCGGGGUUAGUAGGUUGGUCAUGCCUCUGGUAUGUACUGGUCUCACUGAUUCCUCCUUCCUGAUGAGCCGUAAUGCCAUUAAUUUGGUGUUGCGGGGAAUUUGGACUGUUACUUUGAAAAAAAUUAGAGUGUUUAAAGCAAGCUAACGCUUGAAUACAUUAGCAUGGAAUAAUGAAAUAGGACGUUUGAUUCUAUUUUGUUGGUUUCUAGGAUCGACGUAAUGAUUAAUAGGGAUAGUUGGGGGCAUUAGUAUUCAAUUGUCAGAGGUGAAAUUCUUGGAUUUAUUGAAGACUAACUACUGCGAAAGCAUUUGCCAAGGAUGAUUUCAUUAAUCAAGAACGAAAGUUAGGGGAUCGAAGACGAUCAGAUACUGUCGUAGUCUUAACCAUAAACUAUGCCGACUAGGGAUCGGAUGAUGUUAAUUUUUUU
RNAcentral lists this ribosomal RNA (501 nucleotides) under uncultured Glomus. RNAcentral's name for it is "SSU rRNA". It matches the Rfam family "Eukaryotic small subunit ribosomal RNA", at positions 569 to 1073 of the family's 1831-position model. The record is from RNAcentral. Lineage: Eukaryota; Fungi; Glomeromycota; Glomeromycetes; Glomerales; Glomeraceae.